Molecule: long non-coding RNA, 1011 nt
Filed under: Homo sapiens (human)
Lineage: Eukaryota; Metazoa; Chordata; Mammalia; Primates; Hominidae
Description: HSALNT0400637
Source: RNAcentral
UCGUGGCAAUGUUUUUUUCUGAAAGCACCUGCAGAAAUGUAUCUUCUUUCUAGUUUCCAAAAAACUCAGAGGCCAUGGGGGAAGAGGGGACUAUGGCUGUCAGAUAGUGCAUGAGGUACAUUAGGAUACAGUAAUUUCAUCAUAAUUCAUAUUCAUAAUUCACAGUGAGGAAACCUGAAAGUUGCUACCAGCUACCAAUAAAUGAAAGGUGGGGCGGGGUCUCUGGGGGGCACGGCUUUGUGAGCCAGUGCCUGGACUCCCACGUGACAAAUGGAAGGGCAGCGCGUGGAGGGAACUCAAGGCCUGAUUGGUUCUUCCUAAGCAGGACACGAUCUCGUUGGCAGGGCAACCGGCCUUUAGUUGGUGGCCUUCAGUGGGUGGCUUAAGUUGGUGGCAUUUGGUUGCCUUUCCUGGGGAGAGGCGGCAGGUGCUCAGCUCUGCAGACGUGGGGGCAAGAGAAGGCCCAAGCUGCCUCGAGAAGAGCAGAGGUGCCCCAUGGGGACCAUGAUGACCGGUCGCAUGUGCCAAAGCCAGCCCCCGGCAGGGCCAGCGCAGGGUUUCUGCGGGGCCGUCCUGUGGCUCUGAUAUCUAUGAGUGGGUGGCCAGCAAAGGCACAGGCACCAGCAGAAAGGAGCAGAGAUGCCCAGAACAUGCUGUCCCCCAAUGCCAGCCCCAAGCGAGGCCAGCUUAGGGUGCGGUGGGCAGAGCCAUCCUGCAGCUCUGAGAUCCACGAAGUGGAGGUGGGAGUAGCGCCAGGCUCCACGGCGUUGGAGCUCUCACAACUUGAGCUCAAUUUUAUUCCGGAGCCAUGACCUGCAGCACAUUGGUGACCAGAAGACGCCCAAAGCUUUGAAAAUGGACUUAUCGACCUCAAACCAAUGGGACAUAUUCCUACAUGGCCUUCUCCCCUGUUAGGGUUCCCAGGGUAUGUCUUUAAUGUCUGGUUUAAUAGAAGAAGACUUGGUUCUCCUUUCUGCUUCUAUGUUUAAUUUCUUGUGACAUCCCACGUCA